ACACACACACACACACACACGCAAGACGCAGUUAAAUAUUUCAUUAAAUUAUUGAAUAAAUGCGGCACGGCGGUGCAGCAGAUAGAGUCGCUGCCUCACGGCUGCAGGAGCACUGAUUAGAUCCUGAGCUCUGAGCUCGGGUUACUAUCUGUGUCGAGUUUUGCAUGUUCUCCCUGUGUUCACAUGGGUUUCCUCUGGGUUCUAUGAUAGGUGGUAUGAUGGGAUGAGGUGGGAUGAUAAAUUGCCCCUGUGUGUAAAUGUGUGUGUGUGUGUGUGCGCAUAGUGUGAAGCGAUGGACUUUUGGUCGUCAGGCACUGAUGUUGGGUGAGAAGGUCUGGGGUGCAGUCGGUCUUAAAAGUUUGGAUGAAACAGCUUUGGAAAGAUUUCCCCUCAUGUCAUUCUCAAGCCCUUCACUGUUAACUACAGAGUAAAUAAACAGAUUUUUCAUUCAUUUCUCAGGACAGUGCAUCAAAAUGUGCCAAAAUUCUCAUCUGUGGUAAUCACACAUACUACAGUUGCACUGGAAGGAGGUGUAUAAGAUUGUUAUUGUCAUUAUUUAUGAGAAUCGACAAUAAAAUCAUGUUGGAAUGGUCAGCGUAAACAUGGAGUACUAUCGCAUUCGGCUGCACGGUGAGUCAUCGACUCACAAACAGCUACACCUGGCUCGUCUUUCUUUUGGGUGCGAGCCAUCCAUUCUGUGUAGCAUUCUGUGGACUAAAACGUGGGGACAGAAGUGGGUGUGGGUGUGAAGAAUGUUUCAAUGUGAGUAUCUGUGAUACCUCUGUGUGUGUGUGUGUGUGUGUGUGUGUGUGUGUGUGUGUUACUGUAGCUGAUUAACCCUGCCUUCACUCAGCAGCCAAACCAAAAGGCCAACAAACUCCUACUACAAUACAAACACACGCACACACACACACACACACACAAAAAAAAAAAAAAACACAUGCACAAUUUUAUACAAUCCUGAAAUUGUAUCGGUGACAUGGCGGUUAUUUUGUAACAAUGUGUAGCCGAGAAUAAAUAUAUCGAUGCACAGAGUUACCAUUUCAUCACCAUGGAAUAAGUAUAAAUACUAUAACUAGUCACAACUUGUAUUUAAAAUGCACAAAAACUGAAAUGAACUGAAAUGGACCGUUGUGGACAUCAAACAUAGAGAUGAGUGAUUAUAUUACACUGGAAUGAUGCAUAAAAACAUCCGGGUGUCAGUAGAGCUGCGACAUGGCUACCGUUAGCCUACGUCACAAUACGCGAAUAGAUUUUUACACCUGUCCCCGGCAAAUAAUUAACCGGAGGCCAUAUAUUAUGUAUGACAUUCCACAACGUGUUAAUCUUUGGGCUUCAUGGUCACAACCUAAUAAUCUGAGAUACUUAGGUCGUGGCGUCGAAACAUUAUCGCGUCUUGUCACGUCUAAUUAAAAAACAUCCGCCGUGUCAGGGGAAAUCAUGGGGUUCACCCCGCUGUCAGUUUAUCCCGUAUGACCCAUUGAAUCUUAUUGGACGUCGUGAAUUUUCUACACUUCAACAGGAUUUUUUAAACGGGUUGCAUUUGGGUUGUCAGCACAGUAUCUGUAAACUUUAAAUAAAAGAAAAUCAACUGUUUAAAACGUCGUGUUCCCAUGAAUUAUUAACCGUCACGACUCUUAAGAUUUACAAGAAAUUCAACAAACAGACUUCAUGUUAAAACCAUCAUGAACUUCCCUUAGCUUUUACGCUAUCCGUCGUUACCCAGAUGAGGACGGGUUCCCUUCUGAGUCUGGUUCCUCUCAAGGUUUCUUCCUCUUAAAACAUCUUAGGGAGUUUUUCCUUGCCACCGUCACCACUCAGUGGCUUGCUCAGUUGGGAUAAAUUCGCACCUUUAAUAUCUGUAUACCAUGUUGAUAUUUCUGUAAAGCUGCUUUGAGACAAUGUCUAUUGUAAAAAGCGCUAUACAAAUAAAAUUGAAUUGAAUUGAAUUGAAUUGUAAAAUACUACUAUUGACCCAUAAAGCACUAAACGGUCUCACACCACAGUACCUGAGCGAACUUUUGGUCUUUUAUGGUCCGCCAUGCCUACGUUGACCAAAAGAUGCAGGCUAUUUGUUGGUACCAUGAAUAGCGAAGGCUACAGCAGGGGGAAGAGCUUUUUCUUACAAAGCCCUACAGUUAUGGAACAGUCUUCCAAUUAGUGUUCGGGACUCAAACUGGGAUGUUUGGAUGCUUUCAUUCCCUCACUUUCAUGCGUUCACCCAGGUUUGUUGAUGGUGGAGUGGAUGGCCGCCUUAUGUCCCAGGGCGCCCUCAUGUCUGUGUUGCCUUCUUGUGGAGAAAAAAAAACUGAAAUCCAAACAGCACACGUGGCGAUAUAUAAACAAAAACAUGGCAGGAAGUAAAUACAAAGCACAGAAGUAGCACUAUUUGCACUGAGCGACAUGACGUGCGCUGAGAGAGGGAAUUCACGACACUGCAACGAUCAGUUAUAACUACGACUAUAUAUGGUCGCGAAGGGAUUUGUGGCUACUUAAAAAUAAACCAAAAUAAAAAUGUCUAAAAUGCAAAUCAGGCUAUUCAAUUUCAUUUUAUUUGUAUAACACUUGUAACAGUACACACACACACACACACACACACAUGGUGACAGUGGUAAGACAAAAUUCCUUGAGACAACAUGAGGGAGAAACCAGACUCAAAACGGAACAAAAAGGAGACACAUUCGUCUUCUCUGGGUGACACCGGAUGGUGGGAUUAUAAAUCAUUACAGCAAACAGAUGUAGAAAUGAAGGCAGUACAAAGGAAGUUCUGUAUGAGCAGAUUGCGAAUCAGAGUCACAGGACAGUCUUUAUGAUUACAACAGCAAUUCUUAGGUCCCUCCAGGGUUCUGCGAUUUUGCGAUCGCAGAAAUGAACACAACAUCAAGGAAACUCUGCAAUAUUUGCAAGAGCUUUAAUUACCGUAAAAAUCACCGCAGAUUUUCUGCAGCGUCAUGUGACGUCAUUACUACGCUCAUUCAGCAAAAAAAAAAAAAAAAAAAAAAAAAGCCCCUUUCGGUUCACGCCUCAUUUAAAAAGGUCUUAUUUACCACUGGAGCAAGGGUGAGACUUGGGAAUAAACUAAUCUGGGAAUGCUUUAGAGAGUCCAUGUAGGACCAUCCAAAGUAACUAUUUACAUCUAGAACAUUUGGCAGAUGCACUUAUACAGAGCAACUGCUCAGUUGUCUACUUGAAAAACAAAUCCAUAUGCUUGUAAAGAUUGGCCAAAGUCUACAGACACUAACAAGAUAAGACACUGCCAAUAACAGGAAUCUGAGCAGAUAAAUAAGUAAAUAAGCAGAGCGUACAUUGAUAUAGUGAAGCUUUCUGUAAGAAGAUGCUUUUUUGACAUUUAUGGAAGGAGUCUCCAGUGUCAGCGCUUAGUAACAGUAACACAACAAGCUGUUAUGGGUUUUUUUUUCAUCUUAUUCAUUUUAAGAGACAGGAAAAAGAGAGGCUUGUGUGAGGAUGAUUAGAUGGUAUGGUGUUUACAGCGGGGGAAAUAACAUUUUUUUUUUUCAGUAAAUAUAUUUCCCAUGAGUCUAUUCACAGGAAAUUUUCCCCAGACAUCAGUAUUAAUUCAAGAAAUCUGGAAAUAUAAAGAAUUCGCAACAUUAAAGUCUAUAAAUAAAGUUAUGUGUAACAAAUUGGAAUGACACGGGGGAAAAAAGUUUUGAACACGCUAAGAAAAAGCAGCUCUCCGAGGCAAGGUAAGGCAAGGAACCAGCUGAAAUAUGUAAGUAAUUACACCCCCUAUCAGAGCAAAUUAAUAUCAGCUGAGUUAGUAAAUCGAUGGUCUAUAAAAAGAGCUUUUCGCUAUCAAGGUGUCACACAAGAAACAUCUCAUGACGGGUAAAAGCAAAGAGCUCUCCCAAGUGUAAAUAAAUAAAUAUAUAUAGACCAUUUACCAAUAUGAGGGACUAACUUGGUUUAUGGACUUUAUAACAUCAGCAACAUUAAACAGGCAGGAAAUGAAACACUCUGAUCCAGAAUGUUCUCUACCCUCCACAAAGGUUGUCCCGAUGUCUGAGAGUGCGUGUCGUGGGUUGGACUAGUGUGUGCCAGGCUGCUCUGUAUUCAAGGUGUGUAUGAGUCGUGACUCAUGUUAGUAUCCGUCAGGGUGUUGUGCGUGCUGAUUGGCUAGGUCACGGAGUCUCUCCGGCCAAUCAGAAGCCACUGAGAUGACCGCUGAGGGAUACAGGACACACAGAGACGGCUGUAUCCAAGCAACACCCUCCCAGCAUCAGAUAAAGACCUUAUAGGACAAACGGUGUUCAGGAAAACUCUCUCUCGUUAUAACAAAGACAAAACUCUUACAUGAAAUAGAAAUAUAGAAGAGCUUGUUGUAUUUCUCAGUCUCUUUUCUGUGGCUUUUCUCACGGUGAAGUCUCAACUCAACUCCAAACUGACCCGUUUCAAUUUAUUCAUCAGGUGCGCCUACAUAGCAGCUUCAAAAGAUGUAGUUUAAUAUUUACAUAUAAAUAAAUAAAUAAAUAAAUAAAUAAACAACAAACAAAAAUGACACAUAAUUGUAAAAUCAUUCUUUCUUUAUCUUUAUUAAUUUAUUUAGUCAGUUAGUUAGCUAAUUAUUCUUUUGUAAAUGAACAAUUAAUUAAAAAAUAAUAAUUCACCGUUAAUAAAUUAAAAAUGUUAUCUUUUUUUUUUUUUACUUAUUCUACCCACAGUGUUCCCAUUUUAUUCACAUGAUCCUUUUAAAAAAAAAUAAAAACAUCACAAAUGUGUAUUUUUGCAUAUUUUUCUAGAUGUAUUUCUAUAUCUCUGUGUCCUCAUUUCUAUUUUCUUUUCUUUUUUUGUAAAUAUAAUGUUUCUAAAAUAUUUGUUUGUCUUUUUGAAAUGAGUAAAGCAUUAAAAGAAAAUAGAAUAAAAAAUAAACAACUUGUUCCUCUACUACUACUUUCAAAUAUACACUCCUCUACAACUACUACUGAUUAUAAUAAUAAAAUUAAACGGCGGUAUUCAAAUUGCUCAAUAGCGAAGAUAUCAUCGGCGAGACUUAUGUAAAGACUUAAAUAAAUAAAAAAUAUCUCCUGGCCGUUUGGUAACACUUUGGGUUGUAAAAAAAUUAUUGCUUCCUAAAUUUGAGGUGUCAGAAUAUGUUAUACACAGUAUGUUAUAGUUAUGUUAUAUAUGUUAUCUCUCUCU
This is a long non-coding RNA of Ictalurus punctatus (channel catfish), 5160 nucleotides long. NCBI's taxonomy places the organism in Eukaryota, Metazoa, Chordata, Actinopteri, Siluriformes, Ictaluridae. The record is from Ensembl.